RNAcentral lists this long non-coding RNA (287 nucleotides) under Monodon monoceros (narwhal). Its description in RNAcentral is "lncRNA (ENSMMNG00015000234.1)". The record is from RNAcentral. Lineage: Eukaryota; Metazoa; Chordata; Mammalia; Artiodactyla; Monodontidae.
CUGCAACCCAGAGAGGAGAAGUAACACACACAGAAUCAUUCCUCAGGAAAGCAAGGACAAGAACCCAGACCUGGACCCUUCUAGGCAGGUCACUCUGCAGGCUUUGCUAGAACAUCUGCAAGGGAGAUGUGCAGUGAACUUACAAAAAAGUCAAGGCCCAGGCACCACUGCAAAGCUUUUGGGGGAGUCGUUCGGUCAGACAAAUAACCAUCACAUGGAUGGAUGGAUUACAACUGACAUUCAGCCUCCACGUCUGGAGAAAAUAAAAGGGUGAGAGGGGAAUGGAC